AGACGAGAGAAGCUAAGAACCGCCAGCAUGACCACACUGAGACCCUUCCGUUGUGAGGAUAUGUUCCACUUCAACAAUGUCAACCUGGACCCACUCACAGAGACUUAUGGCCUCUCCUUCUACCUGCAGUACCUUGCUCACUGGCCAGAAUAUUUCCAGGUGGCAGAGUCUUCUAGUGGCGUCAUCAUGGGAUACAUCAUGGGGAAGGCUGAGGGUCACGGAGACAACUGGCAUGGCCACGUAACAGCACUCACCGUGGCGCCGGAGUACAGACGUCUGGGCCUGGCAAAGCAGCUCAUGGCCAUUCUGGAGGACAUCUCAGAAAAGAAACGGUGUUACUUUGUUGACCUGUUUGUGCGUGUGAGUAACCUUGUUGCCAUCACCAUGUACAAGAAGCUUGGGUACAUAGUUUACCGCACUGUUCUGCAGUAUUACUCGGGCGACCCGGAUGAAGACGCCUAUGGGUUAUUGCAGGACUUGAAAGCAGAGAUGGAUGGGUAGGCACAGUAUACCCUUUAAGCGCCAACGUUCCCAUUUUGGGAACAUGGGACUAAAUAUUCACCAAAAAAAAGACAUGAGGAAAGCAUUGUCUCGGGAUGCCCAGCAGAAGUCUGUCAUCCCACUCACACACCCGGUACGUCCUGAGGAUAUAGAGUAGUAGCCUUAGGUAUGGUGUUGCUUUGAUGCUUUAAAUGGGACUGCA
Molecule: unclassified non-coding RNA, 703 nt
Filed under: Portunus trituberculatus (swimming crab)
Lineage: Eukaryota; Metazoa; Arthropoda; Malacostraca; Decapoda; Portunidae
Description: n-alpha-acetyltransferase 20-like, transcript variant X2
Source: RNAcentral